Molecule: ribosomal RNA, 406 nt
Filed under: uncultured bacterium
Lineage: Bacteria
Description: partial 16S ribosomal RNA
Rfam family: Bacterial small subunit ribosomal RNA
Source: RNAcentral
AUUGAACGCUGGCGGCAGGACUAACAAAUGCAAGUCGAACGAGUGGCGGACGGGUGAGUAAUGUCUGGGAAACUGCCUGAUGGAGGGGGAUAACUACUGGAAACGGUAGCUAAUACCGCAUACCAUCAGAUGUGCCCAGAUGGGAUUAGCUAGUUGGUGGGGUAACGGCUCACCAAGGCGACGAUCCAUAGCUGGUCUGAGAGGAUGACCAGCCACACUGGAACUGAGACACGGUCCAGACUGCUACGGGAGGCAGCAGUGGGGAAUAGUGCACAAUGGGCACAAGCCUGAUGUAGCCAUGCCGCGUGUGUGACGAAGGCCUUCGGGUUGUAAAGUACUUGCAGCGGGGAGGCGUUACCCGCAGAUGAAGCACAUGCUAACUCCAUGCCAGCAGCCGCGGUAAUUC